Molecule: long non-coding RNA, 225 nt
Filed under: Malus domestica (apple)
Lineage: Eukaryota; Viridiplantae; Streptophyta; Magnoliopsida; Rosales; Rosaceae
Description: long non-coding RNA (MDOM_LNC005888)
Source: RNAcentral
UAUAGCCUUUUAUUCAUUAGGGUUUCUUUUAGAGAAAAUUAGUGAGAACUUGUCUCUCCAUUUUCUCUCUAGGAGGCCGGCCCCUUGGGGGGUGCAUCUUGCAAUCCCACUACUCUAAGGUCACUCAUUUCUUCUCCAAUCUCUCCUUGGUGAAGAGACUUAGCGGUUCUCAAUUUUGGGAACUUGGAGAAACCUAUUCUUCCAUCCAAAUCCAUAGAUUUAAGA